This 256-nucleotide ribosomal RNA is filed under the name uncultured bacterium. RNAcentral describes it as "partial 16S ribosomal RNA". It matches the Rfam family "Bacterial small subunit ribosomal RNA", at positions 524 to 776 of the family's 1533-position model. The record is from RNAcentral.
UACGUAGGGUGCAAGCGUUAAUCGGAAUUACUGGGCGUAAAGCGUGCGCAGGCGGUUAUGUAAGACAGGUGUGAAAUCCCCCGGGCUUAACCUGGGAACUGCAUUUGUGACUGCAUAGCUAGAGUACGGUAGAGGGGGAUGGAAUUCCGCGUGUAGCAGUGAAAUGCGUAGAUAUGCGGAGGAACACCGAUGGCGAAGGCAAUCCCCCUGGACCUGUACUGACGCUCAUGCACGAAAGGCGUGGGGAGCAAACAGG